Long non-coding RNA from Vidua chalybeata, 541 nucleotides. RefSeq lists it as uncharacterized. NCBI's taxonomy places the organism in Eukaryota, Metazoa, Chordata, Aves, Passeriformes, Viduidae. The transcript has 2 exons. The record is from RefSeq and is a predicted model, not a curated record.
GCCGGCCCGGAGCCGGCACCCGGGCGGGACACAGCCGGGACACAGCCGGGACACGGCGUAAAGCUAACCGGGGAGAUCCCGUAGCGACGCGAGACGGUGUCAGGAGCAGCAGGGAAGCAACCGUUUGGACUUCCCAGAUUCUCUCCAUCAGUGCCUGAGUGAGAAGCUUCAUCCCUCCCAAGGCUGUUCAGGCCUUGGCCUUUUGCUGGAGAACAACUACUGAGAUUCCAAUGAAACACCUCUCUGAAGGAGCUGUGAGAUUCACACAUUUUCAGUGAAGAAGAAUCCUGGGCCAGGAAACCCUUCUCAUGCUGCAGGGUGGGGGAAUCUGCUGGUGGGGACAGUCCUACCACAACCAGCCAGGUUUGGGGAGGGUGCAGGUAACAGCGAGAAGAAAGGAUCCAAUGUCAUUUGGAAUACUAAGAAUCGCAUUUCUUUUUCUGGAGCAAAUUCACUCGUUUUGGAUGGGAUUCACUGAACAGAAUGCAAGUGGAUGAGAGCCAACAAAACAAAUUAUAUAAUUAAACAAGUAAUUAAUUAA